Molecule: ribosomal RNA, 152 nt
Filed under: uncultured bacterium
Lineage: Bacteria
Description: partial 16S ribosomal RNA
Rfam family: Bacterial small subunit ribosomal RNA
Source: RNAcentral
AGCUGAUCCAGCCAUGCCGCGUGUGUGAAGAAGGUCUUCGGAUUGUAAAGCACUUUAAGUUGGGAGGAAGGGCUGUAAGUUAAUACCUUGCAGUUUUGACGUUACCGACAGAAUAAGCACCGGCUAACUUCGUGCCAGCAGCCGCGGUAUAA